AGUGCCUGCCUCCACCAGGAACACCAAGAAUUAUGUAGAGUCUCCUGGAGAAGACUUGGCUGCAGAUAAAUAAUUCUUCAUGUGCAGAGUAGCUGAAAAGAGGGGUAAUUUUUUAGCCCAACCCAGGUACUUGGGAGCUGCCAGAAGCCUCUGAAACAGAUGGAGUUGGCAGGAGACAAGCAGAUUUACAGUGGUUGACUCCUAAUACAAUAGGACUUGAAGCAGUUGGGUUGUUCUACUUUGUACUCAGUAAACGCAUUAAUUCUGAACCACAUUUAUUGAAUCCAGACUUUCUUGCAACCCUUUCUGGUGUCUAAAUCCAAGAUGAACCCUCAAAAUCUGUGCUUCUUGUUUUGGACACGUCAUUUGCAGGGCCCACCCUGGAAGUGUUAGUA
This is a long non-coding RNA of Melospiza melodia melodia, 395 nucleotides long. RefSeq lists it as uncharacterized. Lineage: Eukaryota; Metazoa; Chordata; Aves; Passeriformes; Passerellidae. The transcript is spliced from 3 exons. The record is from RefSeq and is a predicted model, not a curated record.